Molecule: unclassified non-coding RNA, 289 nt
Filed under: Nosema bombycis
Lineage: Eukaryota; Fungi; Microsporidia; Nosematidae
Description: intergenic spacer
Source: RNAcentral
GCAGGAUCAUAAAUAAAAAAGAUAGGAUUAUUAUAAUGAAAGUGUAUGCUGACAUUAUAAUAAUCUUGUCUAUGUUCUAAAUACAAAAUACCUUCACGAGGUUUAGAAUGGGUGAUAUAAGGAAGUUAUAUUAGCUAAAUUUAUGUAUGUUAUAAAUGGGUUGAUUGAUUGUAAUGGCAUGUGUAGUUAGGUGUAAAGAGUUAUCAUUAGAAUUUAAUCUAUGUGGCUUGUUGUUAGUUUUUAUACUAUAAUAUGAAUCUAAACUUGUAACAACACACUUAUUUCAACA